GACGAACGCUGGCGGCGUGCUUAACACAUGCAAGUCGAACGGAAAGGCCUGCUUUCCCUUGUGGAUUGCGGGUACUCGAGUGGCGAACGGGUGAGUAACACGUGAGUGAUCUGCCCCCAACUUGGGUAUAAGCCUGGGAAACUGAGUCUAAUUCCCGAUAGGACUGCAGGGUGGUGCCUGUGGUGGAAAACGAUUUUCUAGUGGUUGGGGAUGAGCUCGCGGCCUAUCAGCUUGUUGGUGGGGUAAUGGCCUACCAAGGCGGCGACGGGUAGCCGGCCUGAGAGGGUGGACGGCCACAUUGGGACUGAGAUACGGCCCAGACUCCUACGGGAGGCAGCAGUGGGGAAUAUUGCACAAGGGGCGGAAGCCUGAUGCAGCGACGCCGCGUGGGGGAUGACGGCCUUCGGGUUGUAAACUCCUUUCGACCGCGAGGAAGCCACCUGGUUGGAAGGGUGGUGACGGUAGUGGUAGAAGAAGCACCGGCUAACUACGUG
Molecule: ribosomal RNA, 494 nt
Filed under: uncultured bacterium
Lineage: Bacteria
Description: partial 16S ribosomal RNA
Rfam family: Bacterial small subunit ribosomal RNA
Source: RNAcentral